This is a long non-coding RNA of Brienomyrus brachyistius, 1010 nucleotides long. RefSeq lists it as uncharacterized. The record is from RefSeq and is a predicted model, not a curated record. The transcript is spliced from 2 exons. NCBI's taxonomy places the organism in Eukaryota, Metazoa, Chordata, Actinopteri, Osteoglossiformes, Mormyridae.
AAUUCACUCUGGGGUAGGCGGGGAGGAAUGUGCCUCUUGGCAUACGGGUACCCCUUCAAGACCCUCUGUAGUCACCACUCAAGUGAUGGAACAGCCAAGUACCAGUGGGGUAGGGAUACGAAGAACCGCCAGGACCACUGCAGGCCGACAUACUAAUCUUUAUCAUCUUCCUAGGUCGGUAGGGGGCGGGGCCUUAGGGGCUGUGAGUUCUUCUGGACCUGUGUCUCAUGCGGUAGGGGCUAUGUUUAGACCUUGGCAGUAACUCUGGGUUUGGUUGUAGCUGUCCAUCGUCGGGACGACGAUGCAAAAUCCUGGGGUAGAUUAUAAUGAGGUGGAGCUGGAGGGUGCGAUCUGGUUGGGGCAUGGUAAUUUCAUUAACCUGAUUGCUUAAUUGUUGCAGCCAGCACGCGUAUAUAGGACCCGGUUGUGGUUGCGUGUGUGUGACUGAUUUGUAAGCGUGACGUGACUCUCCGUGCGCCAGUAUCUCCUUUUCCGGAAGUUGUGGCUAUAUCCAACGCUGCAGUGGAUCGCGACUUGGAGUGUCCCGGACCGAUGUGAGCCAGACCAUCAACGGGAUACUAAGUCACUACAAUUGCUGCUGUUUUGCCCGGAUGUUUUAUGUUUUGUUUCAUGUUUUAAUUGGUUUUAAGUAUUAAUGUGUUUUAUUGAUUGAAUGUAAAUUGGGGGGGUGUCGUUGGGAAGGCUUGGUGCUGGGCGGUGAGGAUCCGUGUCGGGCGAUACCGCGCUGCGUGGUCGCGUUGCUUUCUUUUAGCCCACCCCUUGGGUGGAUGUACGUGCGUCAUGUACUGCGGGACCCCUCAGAGUGUUUGACUGUACGCCUCCCAUUCCCCUCCCGAUAACAGCUCCCUGGUUUGGGUUUUCUCUUUUGUCGUGUGAUUGGAGUGUUUUAAACAUGAUUUGAUUUGUAUUUGUGCUGUGAUUUUGGUUUUUUUGUGUUUUUAUUUAGAGUGUGAAUAGCCAACAGCCUAAUAAAGGGAGUGUUUAUGGUC